RNAcentral lists this ribosomal RNA (519 nucleotides) under uncultured bacterium. Its description in RNAcentral is "partial 16S ribosomal RNA". The record is from RNAcentral.
ACUGACAGCCAUGGUUACCGCGGCUGCUGGCACGGAGUUAGCCGGUGCUUCUUCUGUGAGUGAUGUCCUUCCUGCCGGCUAUUAACCCGCAGGCCUUCUUCCUCACUGAAAGUGCUUUACAACCCGAAGGCCUUCUUCACACACGCGGCAUGGCUGGAUCAGGGUUGCCCCCAUUGUCCAAUAUUCCCCACUGCUGCCUCCCGUAGGAGUCUGGGCCGUGUCUCAGUCCCAGUGUGGCUGAUCAUCCUCUCAGACCAGCUACGGAUCGUCGCCUUGGUGAGCCGUUACCUCACCAACCAGCUAAUCCGACAUAGGCUCAUCCGAUAGCGCGAGGCCCGAAGGUCCCCCGCUUUCCCCCGGUAGGGCGUAUGCGGUAUUAGCCUGGGUUUCCCCAGGUUAUCCCCCACUACCGGGCAGAUUCCUAUGCAUUACUCACCCGUCCGCCGCUCGCCACCAGGGAGCAAGCUCCCCGUGCUGCCGCUCGACUUGCAUGUGUUAGGCCUGCCGCCAGCGUUCAAU